Molecule: long non-coding RNA, 1785 nt
Organism: Metopolophium dirhodum (rose-grain aphid)
Lineage: Eukaryota; Metazoa; Arthropoda; Insecta; Hemiptera; Aphididae
Exons: 5
Source: RefSeq, a predicted model, not a curated record
GAAAUGUCGGACUUCCAUCAAAUUUAAUGCCCGCGAUUCUAACCUUAUCACUAUUUAUCACGAACUAUGAUGAUAAUAAUUGUUAUCAAAUAAUUAACAACGUAAUAUUUUUAUUUUUUCGUCUGCCGACGUUAAGUUUGAAUCACUCGGGAAUCGCGAUUAUAUGAAAUUUGAACAGAACUACAGUGGUACAGAGUUCUAUUCAUACAUAAUUUUAGAACAUAAUCACCAUGGAUAAGUGUAUUCUUUUUAGCAAAACAACCAAUGUAUCGCCUCGCCGCCACAUUACGUUAAUUUUCAUUUGUAAGUAGGUAUUAUUUUCAAAUUGCACUGUUUAUACUUCUUAAUAAUAUGGAGUCAGUCUAGUUUGCUAAUUUGUUCACAGAUAUAGAUUUCCAAAAAAUCAAUGAAAUAAAGACUAAAAAUCUUCGAAUUAAAUGAUUAUCCCAAUUUCUACCUGGCAUAGAAUCUGCGGCAAUCAUUUCUCAAUUAGUGAUUGUAAACAAUGCUCAGUAAAUUAGUAAACACGGUCAGAGGCUGUCUCAAAACAUAAUCCAAACCACUUGUCUGGGAUAGAGAAGUAAAAUAAAUUUUAGUUAUUUACGGCAACAUCGGUACUACUCUGAGCACGACUAGGAAAUCGCAUCUAAGAGAAAACUUUGUUUCUCCAACGAUGGGUUAGCAGAAAAUGAACAGACGAAUAAAGGGUUUCGAGGACUUACAGUUGAUGAUUUUGAUUAGCCCAGAAAAGCCUUACAUACUGAUUAAUGUCUAAUUCACACACACUUAUUUCAUAGAAUGGAUUAUACUUAUUAUUGUUUUCGAAAUUGAAAUAAUAUAUUAUGUACCUACCACAUACAAGGAACUAAGAAGUGGAGCCAGUGUAUUGACAAUUUUUCAGACGUUGACUUUCUUGAAGAUAAUUCUACAGACUCAGAUGAAGCCAUAUAAUAUUGGAGCGAAUUGUGAAACUUAAAGGUAAUACAAUUUUGCUGAGCAAGAAUUAAAUUUUAAUAAAGCAGAGAGCCUCAAAGAAACACAUAACUACUAUGGGCAUUGGUAUCUUUCUUAAAGGGAAAGUGCAUCUAGUUGGAUGCGUUAAACAGGUCGUCAAACCCGUUCCCAUUUACAACGAGGAAAUACAAUCUUCAUUGUAAAAAAGAGUAUGCAAUUACCAAAAAGAUUCAGUGGUUGUUAUUAAAAUACUUCAACUAUCGACAAUGGACAUAAUUGAUGAAGACUUAUAUUAUAUUGUGAUAGGUACCUAUUUCCUUUAAUUUGUGUACUUAUUUUUCCUAUGUUUCCCCCACCACCCAUCAGAAAGUAAUUAGUUACUUUAUUUAACCAAAAAAAAACUAUACCUAUACACUGUGCAGUUAUGUUUGUGAAUAAAAUUAUUUUGUCAAUGACCAAUUUAUGAAAACUCUAUUUUCAAAUUGUAUAACAAAAAAGAAAAGUAGGUAGGUUACGUUAGCUUUGUACCUGUUUAAAAUCAUUAUAAGUUAUACUAUCAUACUUUUCAUAUUUGUCGUAUUGAUAGUGUAUAUGUAUAUUUAAGUUUAGAAAUAUAUGACUAAUGUAGUCUAUGGACUUAAGUCUAAUAAAUUUCUACUUUUUAACUUAAUUUUCUCUGUGUUUAUUAACUCAAUCUAUUUUAAUAUGAUUAAAGCGCGAAUUCGUAUGAUUUCACAUAUUUAGUCUGGUUGAUGGUAUGAUAUGCUAAUAGUGAGCACAGAAUUAGUUUCAUGACGAUAACGAUUUACACUGUGAAUCUUUUGGGCCGCA